AAUAUAUUAUGCAAACACAAACUUUUAUUUUGCAUGCGAUUAAUUGCGAUUAAUCUUUUGACAGCCCUAAUAUUUAUUUAUUUAUGUUAAUAAUGAUGUUGACAUGCCAAUACUGUGAUAAAUGCCAAAAAUCGACAUAUCCUGCUUCAUUGUAAUCGAUCAAUGCAACUAAUACUACCUGUGCAAUAAAGCACAUUUGUCUUUCUUUGCUCCGGCUUAUACUGUACAACCUUGUUUUUGUCUUUUAAACCUGUAUUAUCAGCUUGGAUGGACUGUCAGGUCCUCUCUUAAGACUAAACUCAUCGAACGCGUAACCCUUGGAGAGUUUAUUAGCUUGUCAAACACUGAUCUCUCGGUUGCAGUGGUCUCCUCGUGGUCUCCGGAGCACGGCUGGUCUCGCGUGCAUCCAAGGUGAUCAAACCUGCGUCAGUCUGUGCCUGCACCUGCCGGGUCUUUGGGGAGAACACGAAGAGCAUGAACAACAAAAUCUAGACAGCACACACACUGACAGAUCCAGCGUAGAGGACUUUCAAUCGUGUUAUCUGUUUGCCUGAGCCUACGCAGGUUCUUACUUGCCAGCUUUCUUACCUUCAGUCUGGAUUUACGACUUCCUGGUUGGCAGUUUGUUAGUUUCCUGGUUUCGGCAGCAACACGGGAGGCCCAGGAGACAGAGCGAGGAGACGCAGAUCAUAGUGGAGAACCCUGAAAUGUGUCCAUCCAGAUGGUUUUGUACAGCGUCAUCUUGCUAAUUGCCUGUGAUGCCGUCAAAAAGAUGCAGGCGACCUGACAGGCCAGCAGAAUUAAGAGAGAUGAGGACAUGAUGGUCCAACAGAGUCAAGUGUACA
This is a non-coding RNA of Misgurnus anguillicaudatus (oriental weatherfish), 845 nucleotides long. The record is from RefSeq and is a predicted model, not a curated record. NCBI's taxonomy places the organism in Eukaryota, Metazoa, Chordata, Actinopteri, Cypriniformes, Cobitidae.